This 253-nucleotide ribosomal RNA is filed under the name uncultured bacterium. Its description in RNAcentral is "partial 16S ribosomal RNA". It matches the Rfam family "Bacterial small subunit ribosomal RNA", at positions 524 to 776 of the family's 1533-position model. The record is from RNAcentral.
UACGUAGGGGGCAAGCGUUGUUCGAAAUUACUGGGCGUAAAGGGCGCGUAGGCGGCACGGCAAGUCGGGAGUGAAAGCCCGGGGCUCAACCCCGGAACGGCUCUCGAAACUGCCGAGCUAGAGUGCGGAAGGGGCAACUGGAAUUCCCAGUGUAGCGGUGAAAUGCGCAGAUAUCAGGAGGAACACCGGUGGCGAAGGCGGAUCUCUGGGCCUUACCUGACGCUGAGGCGCGAAAGCUAGGGGAGCAAACAGG